Molecule: transfer RNA, 73 nt
Filed under: Natranaerobius trueperi
Lineage: Bacteria; Bacillati; Bacillota; Clostridia; Natranaerobiales; Natranaerobiaceae
Rfam family: tRNA
About the family: Transfer RNA (tRNA) molecules are approximately 80 nucleotides in length. Their secondary structure includes four short double-helical elements and three loops (D, anti-codon, and T loops).
Source: Rfam by way of RNAcentral
GGGGCAUUAGCUCAGUUGGGAGAGCGCUUGACUGGCAGUCAAGAGGUCAUCGGUUCAAGUCCGAUAUGCUCCA